GGGACAACAUUCGGAAACGGAUGCUAAUACCCCAUAGGUGGAUUGGUCGCAUGACGAAUUCAUUAAAGGUGGCUUUGCUACCACUCAUGGAUAGCCUCGCGGCGUAUUAGCUAGUUGGUAAGGUAAUGGCUUACCAAGGCAGUGAUACGUAGCCGACUUGAGAGGGUGAUCGGCCACACUGGGACUGAGACACGGCCCAG
This 200-nucleotide ribosomal RNA is filed under the name uncultured Carnobacteriaceae bacterium. Its description in RNAcentral is "partial 16S ribosomal RNA". It matches the Rfam family "Bacterial small subunit ribosomal RNA", at positions 140 to 334 of the family's 1533-position model. Lineage: Bacteria; Bacillati; Bacillota; Bacilli; Lactobacillales; Carnobacteriaceae. The record is from RNAcentral.